GCAGUAGCCGCGGUAAUACGUAGGGUGCAAGCGUUAAUCGGAAUUACUGGGCGUAAAGCGUGCGCAGGCGGUUUGUUAAGACAGAUGUGAAAUCCCCGGGCUCAACCUGGGAACUGCAUUUGUGACUGGCAAGCUAGAGUGUGGCAGAGGGGGGUGGAAUUCCGCGUGUAGCAGUGAAAUGCGUAGAUAUGCGGAGGAACACCGAUGGCGAAGGCAGCCCCCUGGGCCAACACUGACGCUCAUGCACGAAAGCGUGGGGAGCAAACAGGAUUAGAUACCCCAGUAGUCCCUGUCUCUUAUAC
Molecule: ribosomal RNA, 302 nt
Filed under: uncultured bacterium
Lineage: Bacteria
Description: partial 16S ribosomal RNA
Rfam family: Bacterial small subunit ribosomal RNA
Source: RNAcentral